GACGGAAGGUGCAAGCGUUGCUCGGAAUCACUGGGCGUAAAGGGUGCGUAGGCGGCUUGGUAAGUUGGGUGUGAAAGCCCCGGGCUCAGCCCGGGAAGGGCACUCGAAACUGCCGAGCUGGAGUGCCGGAGGGGAGAGUGGAAUUCCUGGUGUAGCGGUGAAAUGCGUAGAUAUCAGGAGGAACACCGGUGGCGAAGGCGGCUUGCUGGGCCAGUUCUGACGCUGAGGAGCGAAAGCGUGGGGAGCGAACAGG
RNAcentral lists this ribosomal RNA (253 nucleotides) under uncultured bacterium. RNAcentral's name for it is "partial 16S ribosomal RNA". It matches the Rfam family "Bacterial small subunit ribosomal RNA", at positions 524 to 776 of the family's 1533-position model. The record is from RNAcentral.